UCUCUUGUGGCUCAGCUGGUAAAGUAUCCACUUGUAAUGCGGGAGACCUGGGUUCGAUCCCGGGCUUGGGAA
Molecule: transfer RNA, 72 nt
Filed under: Ovis aries (sheep)
Lineage: Eukaryota; Metazoa; Chordata; Mammalia; Artiodactyla; Bovidae
Rfam family: tRNA
About the family: Transfer RNA (tRNA) molecules are approximately 80 nucleotides in length. Their secondary structure includes four short double-helical elements and three loops (D, anti-codon, and T loops).
Source: Rfam by way of RNAcentral